GUUUGAAAAAAGUUCUAUCACUUCAGGCACACAAACAUAAGUUAAAUGAUCUGUACUGUACUGAAAAAACUGUAGCUAUUUACAAACAAAAACAAGAACAGUUUGAGAGAGAAUGGAAUAGCUGGCACUUUCUGUGUUUAUACUGGGAACAAUCACACAAAUACAUGAGACUUUUGUUUUUAAAUUUGCUAAUGGAACCUAUAAAUCUGGCUCUUUACUCUCCAUCUUUCUUGAAUCAGAAACCAUAUAAUGGCAGUAAUAUAUAGAGCAAACCACAGAUGACCAAUUCCUUUUUUUUUUUUUUUUCCUAAAAAUUUCAAACUUGUAUUUGUUUUUUUGUUAGAUUUUUUUUGUUAUUCUUUUGACAAACUUUUGAUUUUUUUCUUUUAUUUUUCUCUAUCAAUUUUUUUUUCUUCUUCAAACUUUUACUAU
This 432-nucleotide long non-coding RNA is filed under the name Mytilus galloprovincialis (Mediterranean mussel). Lineage: Eukaryota; Metazoa; Mollusca; Bivalvia; Mytilida; Mytilidae. The record is from RNAcentral.